AUUAAAGAGGCCUCUGCUCAAUGAAGGCGGUUCGCUACAGGAACCCCAUCCUCUGAAACUCAGAGUACAGUCGCUCAUGAAGCAGAGACACCAUCAACCUGCUGUUCCAACAGCCAGCAGAGAAAAGACUCCGAACGUCCCAGUUCCUCAUCACACGGAGAAGGGCUUCGAGCUCUUUCUAGGGGCGCUCAGCAAAGGGGCGGCCGCCAACUUGAAACCAAUGACCUCCUCUGCGCCGCUGCCUUCUUCCAGCCGCGGCGUUGCCUCACCUGCUAAAGGAGCGAGUCGAUCUGACGAGGCGUUUGAGCGCUUUCUCAGGCUGCUGAACAAAAACGCAGAAGUCAACCCUAAUGAGAUGGUAAGAUCUGGACAAAUGUCCAUGGAAGAAGUGCAUUAUGGGAAAUGUUUUCAUAGAGGAAUCACGAUAGUAGAUCUUUUUUAACCCUAAAAUUAAA
This 455-nucleotide long non-coding RNA is filed under the name Oryzias sinensis (Chinese medaka). RNAcentral describes it as "lncRNA (ENSOSIG00000021129.1)". Lineage: Eukaryota; Metazoa; Chordata; Actinopteri; Beloniformes; Adrianichthyidae. The record is from RNAcentral.